RNAcentral lists this long non-coding RNA (399 nucleotides) under Bos taurus (domestic cattle). RNAcentral describes it as "long non-coding RNA NONBTAT023613". Lineage: Eukaryota; Metazoa; Chordata; Mammalia; Artiodactyla; Bovidae. The record is from RNAcentral.
GUAAAAACCAUCACUGCUAACCACAAAUGUUAGAUCAGAAAUAUCUAGUUUUUAAAAAGUAUGCCACAUAAUUUAGAAAAGGUUAAAGUGCCUAUUUUAAAAAACAGCACUUAUGAAAACAAGGAUUAUUCAAUCUAACCUGAGUCAAAUACAAUAGGAACCUUCUUUUAUAAGUUUUUCUUUAUUCAGUAAUUCCUUACAGUAUCUACUUUCUAGCUUGUUAGUUAAAUGAACAGUUCAAAAUCAUAUAUUAAUAAUUAACAAGCAGUCUAACCAGACUAAUACAAUACCUGGUGGUUGCCUAUCAUUACCAACCACCUGCUGGAAUCCUGUUUAAUUAGGUAAGAAAGUCACACAACUACAGAUGGGCUGAAUCUGAGGGUGAUUUAGUAUUAAGGA